Molecule: ribosomal RNA, 490 nt
Filed under: uncultured bacterium
Lineage: Bacteria
Description: partial 16S ribosomal RNA
Rfam family: Bacterial small subunit ribosomal RNA
Source: RNAcentral
AGUGAACGCUGGCGGUAGGCCUAACACAUGCAAGUCGAACGGCAGCACAGGAGAGCUUGCUCUCUGGGUGGCGAGUGGCGGACGGGUGAGGAAUACAUCGGAAUCUGCCCAGUCGUGGGGGAUAACGUAGGGAAACUUACGCUAAUACCGCAUACGACCUUCGGGUGAAAGAGGGGGAUCGCAAGACCUCUCGCGAUUGGAUGAGCCGAUGUCGGAUUAGCUAGUUGGCGGGGUAAUGGCCCACCAAGGCGACGAUCCGUAGCUGGUCUGAGAGGAUGAUCAGCCACACUGGAACUGAGACACGGUCCAGACUCCUACGGGAGGCAGCAGUGGGGAAUAUUGGACAAUGGGCGCAAGCCUGAUCCAGCCAUACCGCGAGGGUGAAGAAGGCCUUCGGGUUGUAAAGCCCUUUUGUUGGGAAAGAAAUCUUUCAGGCUAAUACCCUGGGAGGAUGACGGUACCCAAAGAAUAAGCACCGGCUAACUUCGUG